Molecule: unclassified non-coding RNA, 270 nt
Filed under: plant metagenome
Description: partial contains 5.8S ribosomal RNA, internal transcribed spacer 2, and large subunit ribosomal RNA
Source: RNAcentral
CAAACCACGCGAAGAGCGCCAGGCAGUUAUUCUGGCUGCGCGCAUGCUGGCGGAGCAAGGAUGGUGCGACGUUCGCGUUUGCAAUAUCUCCUCACGCGGGAUGAUGCUUCGCUGCGCAUCUCCUCCACAGCGAAACAUGUUUGUAGAGAUCAGGCACCAGAAGGCAUGCGUCGUGGGACGAGUAGUGUGGGCCACUGGGACAGCUUUCGGGAUUAGAUCGCAAGAUUCGAUUCCCGUUGCAGAGUUGCUAUCGUGUCGUCCUCUCAAUGA